GUAAUGUCUGGGAAACUGCCUGAUGGAGGGGGAUAACUACUGGAAACGGUGGCUAAUACCGCAUAACGUCGCAAGACCAAAGAGGGGGACCUUCGGGCCUCUUGCCAUCAGAUGUGCCCAGAUGGGAUUAGCUAGUUGGUGAGGUAACGGCUCACCAAGGCGACGAUCCCUAGCUGGUCUGAGAGGAUGACCAGCCACACUGGAACUGAGACACGGUCCAGACUCCUACGGGAGGCAGCAGUGGGGAAUAUUGCACAAUGGGCGCAAGCCUGAUGCAGCCAUGCCGCGUGUAUGAAGAAGGCCUUCGGGUUGUAAAGUACUUUCAGCGGGGAGGAAGGUGUUGUGGUUAAUAACCGCAGCAAUUGACGUUACCCGCAGAAGAAGCACCGGCUAACUCCGUGCCAGCAGCCGCGGUAAUACGGAGGGUGCAAGCGUUAAUCGGAAUUACUGGGCGUAAAGCGCACGCAGGCGGUCUGUCAAGUCGGAUGUGAAAUCCCCGGGCUCAACCUGGGAACUGCAUUCGAAACUGGCAGGCUUGAGUCUUGUAGAGGGGGGUAGAAUUCCAGGUGUAGCGGUGAAAUGCGUAGAGAUCUGGAGGAAUACCGGUGGCGAAGGCGGCCCCCUGGACAAAGACUGACGCUCAGGUGCGAAAGCGUGGGGAGCAAACAGGAUUAGAUACCCUGGUAGUCCACGCCGUAAACGAUGUCUACUUGGAGGUUGUGCCCUUGAGGCGUGGCUUCCGGAGCUAACGCGUUAAGUAGACCGCCUGGGGAGUACGGCCGCAAGGUUAAAACUCAAAUGAAUUGACGGGGGCCCGCACAAGCGGUGGAGCAUGUGGUUUAAUUCGAUGCAACGCGAAGAACCUUACCUGGUCUUGACAUCCACGGAAGUUUUCAGAGAUGAGAAUGUGCCUUCGGGAACCGUGAGACAGGUGCUGCAUGGCUGUCGUCAGCUCGUGUUGUGAAAUGUUGGGUUAAGUCCCGCAACGAGCGCAACCCUUAUCCUUUGUUGCCAGCGAUUAGG
This 1023-nucleotide ribosomal RNA is filed under the name Salmonella enterica. Its description in RNAcentral is "partial 16S ribosomal RNA". It matches the Rfam family "Bacterial small subunit ribosomal RNA", at positions 110 to 1129 of the family's 1533-position model. Lineage: Bacteria; Pseudomonadati; Pseudomonadota; Gammaproteobacteria; Enterobacterales; Enterobacteriaceae. RNAcentral also lists the same sequence under 2 other names. The record is from RNAcentral.